CACAGUGAGAAGGCGGAGGACCAUCUGCAAGCAGGAAGAGAGCCCUCGCUAGAACCCCCCACGGUGGCAUCUGAUAGUGGACUUCUAGCUUCCAGAACUGAACUCAUAAAUGUCACAUCAGGCUGCCUCUUGGUGAAUUUUUAAUCAACGGGGAGAAUUUCAGCUACAAAUAGACCAAGAAUCAAGAGGCCCACUAUUGAUCGGUCAAAGUGGCACUUAUGAACCUGAGGUUGAAGCAGUUUGGAUAAAAGGAUUCUGGGCUUUCGAUGGCCCCAGAGACAUCUUUUUCCAUCAAGUCCAGGCUUGCUGAUCGGUACAGCUGAGAACAUGUUGAAUUUGAUGUGCCUGUGGAUAUUUGAGUCUGGAACAUUGAAGACAAGUUUGGUCUGGAGAUGUAGACUGGGGAUAUCUCAGCACACAGAUGAUAACUGAAAUGAUGGAGCGGAUGAUAUAAACUGGAGAGAGUCUGGUGUGGGAAGAGUCUUCCCUGAGGUGGCCGAAAGAUGUAAUUCUUACUCCAAAGACUGAAAUAGAGACAAGAGAAGCUGAAGUUACAGGGUUUUGUCAUUGGGAAGACAGUAGAGUGUGUCAUAUCCCAAGAGUGAAGCAAGGACAAACCAAAGAACAACUGGGAAGAUCUGGGAGAAAAAGGAAAUGAUGCAACUGAGUCACAGAGAAGUUAAGUAAUCUGCCUGCCGACACUCGGGUCGAUGCCGCCUCAUUCCAUCACUCGGGCAAUGGAGCCAAAGGCCACGUUCACAACCACUAGGCUGUCCCAGCCCCUUGCUUCAAAGAUAGCCAGGCAGGAGUUAUUUUAUAGAAUGGAAGUAAUUUCUACGGGGCCAAGCAAUAAUAAGGAAAUUGGAAGUCAAGGACUAUCUUCCGAAUGGAGAAGAAGCUCCAUCAACCACAGAAGGAAAUUAUGAUCACUCCUGCCAUCCUGCUCCUUUGUGUAUCCAGGAUGAAGGGGAGAAUUGGAGUCUUGCACAAUGAAAGGACAACAUUGCUGCCAAAACAAUCCAUCGUGACUGUAGACAUAUUUUCCACCCUCAUCCUGCAGGUUUUCUGCCAGUUGUUGGCCCCUCACCAAUUUUGCUCCUGGGCAGUCUGAGGUGGAACAUAAUUUUGUAUAAAACAAAUUAUGCUCAACCUCACUUAUAA
Molecule: long non-coding RNA, 1161 nt
Filed under: Homo sapiens (human)
Lineage: Eukaryota; Metazoa; Chordata; Mammalia; Primates; Hominidae
Description: non-protein coding lnc-ST3GAL4-55:7
Source: RNAcentral